Molecule: non-coding RNA, 201 nt
Organism: Leptonychotes weddellii (Weddell seal)
Lineage: Eukaryota; Metazoa; Chordata; Mammalia; Carnivora; Phocidae
Source: RefSeq, a predicted model, not a curated record
GCCACUGGUGGGGGACACACUUCGGCGGAACGGAAAACCAGAAUUGUUCCACGGGCCAGUCCACCGAGGCUGAAGUCCAUAAGCCUUGGAGAGACCUUCAGCAGUAAUCUCCAAAAUCUAGAAUGACCACCCUGCCCCCGCUGCCCAUGACACGCCCAAAGCUUACAUCUUUAGCCAGACAGAAGCUGCCAUGUUCCCCUG